AUGCCCAGGCAGGCCCCCGAGAAUGCCUUCCGUGCCCUCGCCCUCCCUGGGGAGAGGAAACUGCAGUGUUUCCUCUGCAAUGUCGGGGAUUGGCCACCAGCUUCCUCUGCACCGUCUCUGGCAGGAGCCUGUGGUCCCUGCACCUGCGGGAGGCAGCGAGCAGGAGGCCCGCAGGAGGUACGGAGGCCCCGGGCCAAGCCGGGGCACGGGUGGGCCCGGAGCCUGCAGGCUGCUCGCCCCCGCCCCGACCAGGAGGCUGAGGUCCAGGGCUGCUCAGCGCCGGGCACCCGGGCACCAGGAGUGGUGGGGACACUGCAGCCGAGCGGGGGCAGGGAGCCGGGUGGCUUCAGCUCGUGGCCCGCCCCCCCUGCCAGGCCUCCUUUGUGGCUGGUCACCCAGGCUGCUGGCCCCAAGUGGGACGCCGCACGUGCCCUGGUGACCGCAGCCCGGCCUCCCGCGGGCGAAUUGUGCCUCUGCCAUCCACCGCGGCCCUGUGCCCUGCCUGUGCCCCUGCCUGUCCCCCUGGCGGGCUCCGGGGCCCCACAGCUUUGCGGGCAACAGCGAGGGAGGCCCAGGAGCUUCGGGAGGAGGAUGGGCGAAAUGAAAAUUGUCCACAACUGGGGUCCAUCGUGUCAAGAUCCGGCUGCACUUAGGCGUCUCCUGGGACAUUCCGAGGCCACGCGGCCGAGCGCUCCCAGGUGCCAGAGCGGCCUGGCCUCAGAGCCCCGUGCUCCCCGCGGCCCCGCCACAUGCUCCGGGCUUGGUCCCCUCGCGCCCCCCCCCCCCCCCCCCCGCCUAACCCCACUGCCUGUCUCUCCCGGGGCCGCCUUGGAGGGUCCCCAGCCUGGGGGACAGGUCGCCAGCCAGGCUCGGACGCACCCCCACAGUCCCGUGGUUUUCUCGUCCUUGCUGGCACUAAGUUCUGUACAGAACGCCUCGGCCUGGAAGGUUAAACAGGAUUGCCAGGCUGGAACGCGGUUCAGGACCAGGGCUCUUACGUCCACAGAGCGUGUGUGA
RNAcentral lists this long non-coding RNA (1017 nucleotides) under Canis lupus familiaris (dog). RNAcentral's name for it is "lncRNA (ENSCAFG00030005165.1)". Lineage: Eukaryota; Metazoa; Chordata; Mammalia; Carnivora; Canidae. The record is from RNAcentral.